GAUGAACGCUGGCGGCGUGCCUAAUACAUGCAAGUCGAGCGAACGGACGAGAAGCUCGCUUCUCUGAUGUUAGCGGCGGACGGGUGAGUAACACGUGGAUAACCUACCUAUAAGACUGGGAUAACUUCGGGAAACCGGAGCUAAUACCGGAUCAUAUUUUGAACCGCAUGGAUCAAAAGUGCAAGACGGCCUUGCUGUCACUUAUAGAUGGAUCCGCGCUGCAUUAGCUAGUUGGUAAGGUAACGGCUUACCAAGGCAACGAUGCAUAGCCGACCUGAGAGGGUGAUCGGCCACACUGGAACUGAGACACGGUCCAGACUCCUACGGGAGGCAGCAGUAGGGAAUCUUCCGCAAUGGGCGAAAGCCUGACGGAGCAAUGCCGCGUGAGUGAUGAAGGUCUUCGGAUCGUAAAACUCUGUUAUUAGGGAAGAACAUAUGUGUAAGAAACUGCGCACGUCUUGACGGUACCUAAUCAGAAAGCCACGGCUAACUACGUG
RNAcentral lists this ribosomal RNA (497 nucleotides) under uncultured bacterium. Its description in RNAcentral is "partial 16S ribosomal RNA". It matches the Rfam family "Bacterial small subunit ribosomal RNA", at positions 28 to 507 of the family's 1533-position model. The record is from RNAcentral.